UGCUAAGUUACUGUCUUUCUGAACUGACUCCAAUCUCUCUCCCUUUCUACUCACCCUGAACUCUGCUUAUCUUUCUAGAACUGCCCCUACUCUUUAUCCUUUAAGAAUUUGCAAUGCCUCCUUUUCACCUGUCUCCUAAAACAAGUCUCCUCUGUACUGGGCAAGAAAGGAAGAAGAAUGAAACUAUUUGUGUUAUGGAGCACAGUUUAUCAGAUAAUCCCUGCACUGGAAAGUAUUGUUUACCAGAUAUCAACAAAAUGGUAUUCUUUUUCGUAUUUGACAUUACCUUGAAUAG
Molecule: long non-coding RNA, 295 nt
Filed under: Macaca nemestrina (pig-tailed macaque)
Lineage: Eukaryota; Metazoa; Chordata; Mammalia; Primates; Cercopithecidae
Description: lncRNA (ENSMNEG00000045936.1)
Source: RNAcentral